GACGUAGGGCGCGAGCGUUGUCCGGAAUUAUUGGGCGUAAAGAGCUCGUAGGCGGUCUGUCGCGUCUGCUGUGAAAACUCGGGGCUUAACCCCGGGCCUGCAGUGGGUACGGGCAGACUAGAGUGCGGUAGGGGAGACUGGAAUUCCUGGUGUAGCGGUGAAAUGCGCAGAUAUCAGGAGGAACACCGGUGGCGAAGGCGGGUCUCUGGGCCGUAACUGACGCUGAGGAGCGAAAGCAUGGGGAGCGAACAGG
Molecule: ribosomal RNA, 253 nt
Filed under: uncultured bacterium
Lineage: Bacteria
Description: partial 16S ribosomal RNA
Rfam family: Bacterial small subunit ribosomal RNA
Source: RNAcentral